GACGAACGCUGGCGGCGUGCUUAACACAUGCAAGUCGUACGGUAAGGCCCUUUCGGGGGUACACGAGUGGCGAACGGGUGAGUAACACGUGAGUAACCUGCCCACAACUUUGGGAUAACGCUAGGAAACUGGUGCUAAUACUGGAUAUGUGCUCCUGCUGCAUGGUGGGGGUUGGAAAGCUCCGGCGGUUGUGGAUGGACUCGCGGCCUAUCAGCUUGUUGGUGGGGUAGUGGCCUACCAAGGCGGCGACGGGUAGCCGGCCUGAGAGGGUGACCGGCCAAAUUGGGAAGGGGAAACGGCCCAGAAUCCUACGGGGGGCAGCAGGGGGGAAGAUUGCACAAUGGGGGCAAGCCUGAUGCAGCAACGCCGGGGGGGGGAUGACGGCCUUCGGGUUGGAAACCGCUUUCAGCAGGGACGAAGCUUUUUGUGACGGUACCUGCAGAAGAAGCACCGGCUAACUACGUG
Molecule: ribosomal RNA, 465 nt
Filed under: uncultured bacterium
Lineage: Bacteria
Description: partial 16S ribosomal RNA
Rfam family: Bacterial small subunit ribosomal RNA
Source: RNAcentral